UUUUUUUUCCGGUCACCAUCCAAAACCCCCAUGGCCAUUGAUCAAACUCUCGAUUAACCUCCGCCGGUGGAACAUCGGGCCUUCCUAACCACCGGCUGCCUUCUCCCGACCAUUGGUGUCCCGAUGACUGCUGGUCUUGAGGGAGAUUGGUUGAAGAAGGCCGUCCAAAACGUCGUUCCACUCCAUCGCAUCUUAGCCGACGGCCAUCGGAAACAUGCAAUCGGCGGAACACUACCCUCUUGCCGAGGCUCUCGGCUGGUUUUUCGAUGGGUGUGCUUGCGAUCUAUCAAUUGUUAAGAGAUUGAUGGAGGGAGGAAUUAAAUUGUGGCUCCUUCUCCAAAAAAUAUGAUCGAUGGCUGUUGGAAAAAGUCUGGAUCGACGGACCGCCGCCGUCUC
RNAcentral lists this long non-coding RNA (396 nucleotides) under Elaeis guineensis (African oil palm). RNAcentral's name for it is "long non-coding RNA (EGUI_LNC023053)". The record is from RNAcentral. Lineage: Eukaryota; Viridiplantae; Streptophyta; Magnoliopsida; Arecales; Arecaceae.